UACGGAGGGUGCAAGCGUUGUCCGGAUUUAUUGGGCGUAAAGGGUGCGUAGGCGGCGCGGUAAGUCGGGUGUGAAAUCUCGGAGCUUAACUCCGAAACUGCAUUCGAUACUGCCGUGCUUGAGGACUGGAGAGGAGACUGGAAUUUACGGUGUAGCGGUGAAAUGCGUAGAUAUCGUAAGGAAGACCAGUGGCGAAGGCGGGUCUCUGGACAGUUCCUGACGCUGAGGCACGAAGGUCAGGGGAGCAAACGGG
RNAcentral lists this ribosomal RNA (253 nucleotides) under uncultured bacterium. Its description in RNAcentral is "partial 16S ribosomal RNA". It matches the Rfam family "Bacterial small subunit ribosomal RNA", at positions 524 to 776 of the family's 1533-position model. The record is from RNAcentral.